RNAcentral lists this ribosomal RNA (406 nucleotides) under uncultured bacterium. RNAcentral describes it as "partial 16S ribosomal RNA". It matches the Rfam family "Bacterial small subunit ribosomal RNA", at positions 30 to 526 of the family's 1533-position model. The record is from RNAcentral.
AUUGAACGCUGGCGGCAGGCCUAACACAUGCAAGUCGAGCGAGCGGCGGACGGGUGAGUAAUGUCUGGGAAUCUGCCCGAUAGAGGGGGAUAACUACUGGAAACGGUAGCUAAUACCGCAUACUAUCGGAUGAACCCAUAUGGGAUUAGCUAGUAGGUGGGGUAAAGGCUCACCUAGGCGACGAUCUCUAGCUGGUCUGAGAGGAUGAUCAGCCACACUGGAACGGAGACACGGUCCAGACUCCUACGGGAGGCAGCAGUGGGGAAUAUUGCACAAUGGGCGCAAGCCUGAUGCAGCCAUGCCGCGUGUAUGAAGAAGGCCUUCGGGUUGUAAAGUACUUUCAGCGGGGAGGCGUUACCCGCAGAAGAAGCACCGGCUAACUCCGUGCCAGCAGCCGCGGUAAUAC